This 1280-nucleotide long non-coding RNA is filed under the name Anser cygnoides (Swan goose). RNAcentral describes it as "lncRNA (ENSACDG00005017449.1)". The record is from RNAcentral. Lineage: Eukaryota; Metazoa; Chordata; Aves; Anseriformes; Anatidae.
UGUCGGACAGCUGCUCCUGUCCCUGACCCCAAGCUGGUUAAUAUGCCACACUACAGGUUCCCUUCUGAUGCCAUCCAUCCUUUCCUGGCUUCAGCUGAGAUCGGGUUUUCUUCCUAGUAGCUGUGCUUACAUGGAGCCAAGGACGUUUCAGCUCCUCACACUGACCUGCCAUCGAGGAGGCCGGGGGUGCACAAGGAGCUGGGAGGGGACAGAACCAGGACAGCUGACCCUAACAGGCCAAGGGAUGUCUCAUACUAUAUGGCGUCAGGCUGAAGAAUAAAAACGGGUGAGUUGGCCAGGGUGUGCUGCCACUGUCUGGGGACAGGCUGGGCAUUGGUCAGCAGGUGGUAAGCAAUUGUGUUUUGCGUCAGUUACUUUGUAUAUUCUAUUUUUACUACUGUUAUCAUCCCUUCCUUUUCUUUUACUAUUAAAUUGUCAUUAUCUCAACCCAUGAGUUUUACCUUUUCUCUGGUUCUCUCCCCAAUCCCACUGUUGAGGAGUGAGCAAAUGGCUGCGUGGUGCUUAGCUGUCUGCUGGGUUAAACCACAACCCCUCCUUUUAGCAAACUGGUAGAAGAGCUAGAAGAAUGGGGAAGCACUGUCAAGUCUCAUCACCCCUGCAGUUCUCCUCUGGCGCCAGUAAAGACUCCAAAUGGCCAGUGGCGACUCUCGGGAGAUUAUCCAGCCUUGAACACUGCCAUUGCUCCUCAGGAAUCACAGAAUCAAAGAAUGGCUGUGGUUGGAAGGGACCUGUGCAGCCUGGUCUGCUGACUCAUGGAUGGUAGUGGAUGCCCUGGGGGUCUGUCUACCGUUGUGGAAGCAAACCAAUUGGCAGCACAGAUAUGAACCAGUCUGGGUUGCUGCAUCGUGGCAAGACGUGCUGCCCAGACAAAAAACGCUGAUGUAAAAUUACAGCAUUUAGAUACAUGUCCAAGAAGCACACCACUAAAGAACAUGGGAGCAACGACCAGGUAAAGCAGCCUGCAAAAAUGUGUCUCACGUAGACCUGGACUGGGAAUUUAAGGAUGAGCUGUUGGCUCGAUGGGCCAACGAAACAUCCAGACAUCUAGGGAGAGAUGGCACAUACAGGUAGGCUCUUGAUCAAGGAGUGGACCUGACCAUUGAGGCCAUCACACAGAUCCCCCCCAACAUGUGAAACAAGUGCAGCAAUCAAGUGAGCUACACGAGUAGUCUCCCUGGACUAGAGGGCACUGGCUAGGUUUUUGUUAGGGUGAGGCCUGGCAGAUUGUCUAUAUUGGACUGCUACCGUGACCCUCCAAG